RNAcentral lists this ribosomal RNA (207 nucleotides) under uncultured bacterium. RNAcentral describes it as "partial 16S ribosomal RNA". It matches the Rfam family "Bacterial small subunit ribosomal RNA", at positions 568 to 774 of the family's 1533-position model. The record is from RNAcentral.
UGCGUAGGUGGCGGGGUAAGUCGGAUGUGAAAGCUCGGAGCUCAACUCCGAAAUGGCAUUGGAAACUACCUUGCUCGAGGGUUGGAGGGGGGACUGGAAUUCUCGGUGUAGCAGUGAAAUGCGUAGAUAUCGAGAGGAACACCAGUGGCGAAGGCGAGUCCCUGGACAACUCCUGACACUGAGGCACGAAAGCUAGGGGAGCAAACA